AGAGUUUGAUCAUGGCUCAGAUUGAACGCUGGCGGUAUGCUUAACACGUGCAAGUCGAACGGUAACAUGGGAGCUUGCUCCUGAUGACGAGUGGCGGACGGGUGAGUAACGCGUAGGAAUCUGCCUAGUAGUGGGGGACAACCAAGAGAAAUUUUGGCUAAUACCGCAUACGCCCUACGGGGGAAAGCGGGGGAUCUUCGGACCUCGUGCUAUUAGAUGAGCCUGCGUUGGAUUAGCUAGUUGGUGAGGUAAUGGCUCACCAAGGCGACGAUCCAUAGCUGGUCUGAGAGGACGAUCAGCCACACUGGGACUGAGACACGGCCCAGACUCCUACGGGAGGCAGCAGUGGGGAAUAUUGGACAAUGGGCGCAAGCCUGAUCCAGCAAUACCGCGUGUGUGAAGAAGGCCUGCGGGUUGUAAAGCACUUUCAAUUGUGAAGAAAAGCUUGAGAUUAAUAAACUUAAGUCUUGACGUUAACUUUAGAAGAAGCACCGGCUAACUCCGUGCCAGCAGCCGCGGUAAUACGGAGGGUGCAAGCGUUAAUCGGAAUUACUGGGCGUAAAGCGCGCGUAGGCGGCUUGUUAAGUCGGAUGUGAAAGCCCUGGGCUCAACCUGGGAACUGCAUUCGAUACUGGCAAGCUAGAGUAUGGUAGAGGGUAGUGGAAUUCAGAGUGUAGCGGUGAAAUGCGUAGAGAUUCUGAGGAACACCAGUGGCGAAGGCGGCUACCUGGACCAAUACUGACGC
This 745-nucleotide ribosomal RNA is filed under the name uncultured bacterium. RNAcentral describes it as "bacterial SSU rRNA". It matches the Rfam family "Bacterial small subunit ribosomal RNA", at positions 8 to 746 of the family's 1533-position model. The record is from RNAcentral.